AUCAGUUGACGAGUCCAAAAUAGGACGAAACGCGCUUUAUGGAU
This 44-nucleotide non-coding RNA is filed under the name Schistosoma mattheei. The record is from RNAcentral. Lineage: Eukaryota; Metazoa; Platyhelminthes; Trematoda; Strigeidida; Schistosomatidae.